CCUAACCAAAUUUAAUCUCCUCAACCGUAACACUCCUUUUACGGCGACCUCUUUCUCCCCCUUCCCGUUCUCAUAGCUUUUCGAUUGGGAACAAAUUGACUAGGAUCAAAUUCUUGUGUCCUUAAUUAAUCGAUUUUGAUGCGGUAGAUUCCAAUUUUUUUCUUUAGGGAUUUUAUUGGGUUUCAAAUUCUUGGAAGAAUUCUAGGGUUUGAGACACAAUAAAGGCCAUGGAGACCUUGAAAGAUCUGAUUGAAGAAGUAAAAGUUCGAACGGUUUGGUGGGGUUUGUGUAUAUUUGCUCUCUGUUACUUUUUAACACGUAAGUUCAAUUUCAAUUUCUCUUUUUUUUUCUUCACAUCAUGUAUCUUCUUAGUAGGAAAAUACACUACCCAUUAGGGUCUUUCUGGGUACUCCGCUAGUUUUCAAUUUUUGCUCAUCUAAUUCAUGAUAAUUUGAUGCAAGUGUAAUUAUAUGGGAUUACUUUCAUUGUUUUGAUCACAGUAAUUACAUACUUUUUUGGCGUUCCUUUGAUGAGUUUGAUCAAUGGCCAUGAAAAGACUUUUUUCUAAUUUAGUUUAAGUUGUAUACACAUAAGCAAAGAUAUCUUUGUUGGGUGAAUAGGGUGUGUUGGACAUUUACAUGGCUGGAGGAGAAAGAGGGUAUGAAGCCACGUUGGGUUGAAAAUAAUAUUUAUUUUUUAUUCCAGUCAAAGAUUGCCACGCGGACCAAUUAAAAAUUGUCAUGUCAUUAAAUGAAAGACCAUCAGUUCCGCCGUUAGUCGCUGGGGUAUUUUUGUUAAUAGAAUAAACUUCCUAUUUUUUUUGACCUGAUAGAUGGACGGAGUGUAUUUUUUUGAACGGAUAGGUGGAUGGAGGGUAUUUAUAAACCAUUUAGCAAACGAUAGGGAUAUUUUUUGCCCUUUUCCGAUUGAACUAUUACUCCCCCAACAUGUCCCCUCCCCUUUUAUCUGUUUAAAUUCUUGUUCUCUUUCAGUUAUUCCACAUAUAUCUGUACAUGUUGUUCGUGGUAGGUCCAGUUUAGUCUCGUCACUACCUCGCCGAGGUUAAGCCUGGCGCUUACCAGCACAUGGGGUCGGUUGUGCUGAUACUACACUUCUGGGCCUUUUGUGCAUAGGUCAUGACAUAGCCUACGGACCGCAACAGUAGUUAGGGGGCGAUCCUUCAGUCCAGAGACUCUGAGUUAGUUCGUUGGCGUUCGCGGGCCCUGAGUCUACUCUAUCUCUUCUAGUUUGUUUUUAUUGUAUCAAAAUAGACAUGUGAUGUAUUUCUUUCAGACUAUUAUUUUUAGUACUCUUCUAGUCCUCCGUGAGUAGUGACAUCAGAUACUAGGUAGAGACAUGUUGUUAAUUUCUGC
This 1373-nucleotide long non-coding RNA is filed under the name Nicotiana benthamiana. RNAcentral describes it as "long non-coding RNA (NBEN_LNC040653)". The record is from RNAcentral. Lineage: Eukaryota; Viridiplantae; Streptophyta; Magnoliopsida; Solanales; Solanaceae.